UAUUUUCUUUCACCUGUGACAACAUACAAAGCUAUCGCUAAGUGGUGAACUCAGUGGUGCACAACUAUAAUUUAAAACAUAGUACAAUAUACAUUGAUAAAUUUUACAGUAAAUAAUUUGAGAAUCUGAAUACUGAUCAAAUUUCACAACUCAAAAUACUCAUUGCCAAUAAUGUAAAUCAUUUGUAUAAAUGACUUGGAGCACAAAAUUCAAUUUAUCAUAUCUUGACUAUCCAUUUAAGUAAUUCCAACAAAAUCAAUUAUACAUAAACCAUAAUUAAAAUCACCAUUCCUUGCCAUUCAAAAGCCAUUCUGUAUCUCAAAAUCAUUUUGUAUCUCAAAAAAAUUAUACUGUAUCUCAAAAGUCAUUAUGCAUCUCAAAAACCAUGUUGUAUCUCAAAAAUCAUAUUGUAUCUCAAAAGUCAUUAUGUAUCUCAAAAAUCAAUCUUUAUCUCACUAACUAUGCAAG
RNAcentral lists this unclassified non-coding RNA (468 nucleotides) under Hevea brasiliensis (rubber tree). Lineage: Eukaryota; Viridiplantae; Streptophyta; Magnoliopsida; Malpighiales; Euphorbiaceae. The record is from RNAcentral.